This 328-nucleotide ribosomal RNA is filed under the name uncultured bacterium. RNAcentral describes it as "bacterial SSU rRNA". It matches the Rfam family "Bacterial small subunit ribosomal RNA", at positions 570 to 898 of the family's 1533-position model. The record is from RNAcentral.
CGUAGGCGGGUGUUUAAGUCAGAGGUCAAAUCCCAGGGCUCAACCCUGGAACUGCCUUUGAUACUGGACACCUAGAGUGCGGGAGAGGUGAGUGGAACUCCGAGUGUAGAGGUGAAAUUCGUAGAUAUUCGGAAGAACACCAGUGGCGAAGGCGACUCACUGGCCCGAUACUGACGCUGAGGCGCGAAAGCGUGGGGAGCAAACAGGAUUAGAUACCCUGGUAGUCCACGCCGUAAACGAUGAGUGCUAGUUGUCGGCAAGCAUGCUUGUCGGUGACGCAGCUAACGCAUUAAGCACUCCGCCUGGGGAGUACGGUCGCAAGAUUAAA